This 276-nucleotide ribosomal RNA is filed under the name uncultured prokaryote. RNAcentral's name for it is "partial 16S ribosomal RNA". It matches the Rfam family "Bacterial small subunit ribosomal RNA", at positions 524 to 800 of the family's 1533-position model. The record is from RNAcentral.
UACGUAGGGGCGAGCGUUAUCCGGAAUUAUUGGGCGUAAAGAGUGCGUAGGUGGUUACCUAAGCGCAAGGUUUAAUCUUGAGGCUCAACCUCAUUCUGCCUUGCGAACUGGGCUACUUGAGUGCUGGAGGGGAAAGCGGAAUUCCCAGUGUAGCGGUGAAAUGCGUAGAUAUUGGGAAGAACACCGGUGGCGAAGGCGGCUUUCUGGACAGUAACUGACACUGAGGCACGAAAGCGGUGGGGAGCAAACAGGAUUAGAUACCCGCGUAGUCCCUGA